RNAcentral lists this ribosomal RNA (498 nucleotides) under uncultured bacterium. RNAcentral's name for it is "partial 16S ribosomal RNA". It matches the Rfam family "Bacterial small subunit ribosomal RNA", at positions 29 to 523 of the family's 1533-position model. The record is from RNAcentral.
AUUGAACGCUGGCGGCAUGCCUUACACAUGCAAGUCGAACGGUAACGCGGGGCAACCUGGCGACGAGUGGCGAACGGGUGAGUAAUGCAUCGGAACGUGCCCGGUCGUGGGGGAUAACGCAGCGAAAGUUGCGCUAAUACCGCAUAUGAUCUGAGGAUGAAAGCGGGGGACCGUAAGGCCUCGCGCGAUCGGAGCGGCCGAUGUCAGAUUAGGUAGUUGGUGGGGUAAAGGCUCACCAAGCCAACGAUCUGUAGCUGGUCUGAGAGGACGACCAGCCACACUGGGACUGAGACACGGCCCAGACUCCUACGGGAGGCAGCAGUGGGGAAUUUUGGACAAUGGGCGAAAGCCUGAUCCAGCAAUGCCGCGUGCAGGAAGAAGGCCUUCGGGUUGUAAACUGCUUUUGUACGGAGCGAAAAGGUCUCCUCUAAUACAGGGGGCUCAUGACGGUACCGUAAGAAUAAGCACCGGCUAACUACGUGCCAGCCGCCGCGGUAA